RNAcentral lists this ribosomal RNA (844 nucleotides) under uncultured bacterium. Its description in RNAcentral is "bacterial SSU rRNA". It matches the Rfam family "Bacterial small subunit ribosomal RNA", at positions 39 to 902 of the family's 1533-position model. The record is from RNAcentral.
UCGACGGGGAUGCUUAUGGAAGGAGUGCUUGCACUUUGGAAAUGAGUAUCUUAGUGGCGGAUGGGUGAGUAACGCGUGGGUAACCUGCCCCAUACCGGGGGAUACCACCUGGAAACAGGUGCUAAUACCGCAUAAGCACACGGGAGCGCAUGCUCCUGUGUGAAAAACUCCGGUGGUAUGGGAUGGACCCGCGUCUGAUUAGCCAGUUGGCAGGGUAACGGCCUACCAAAGCGACGAUCAGUAGCCGGCCUGAGAGGGUGGACGGCCACAUUGGGACUGAGACACGGCCCAAACUCCUACGGGAGGCAGCAGUGGGGAAUAUUGCACAAUGGGGGAAACCCUGAUGCAGCGACGCCGCGUGAGUGAAGAAGUAUUUCGGUAUGUAAAGCUCUAUCAGCAGGAACGAGACAAGACGGUACCUGACUAAGAAGCCCCGGCUAACUACGUGCCAGCAGCCGCGGUAAUACGUAGGGGGCAAGCGUUAUCCGGAAUCACUGGGUGUAAAGGGAGCGUAGACGGCUGAGCAAGCCUGAAGUGAAAGGCGGGGGCCCAACCCCCGGACUGCUUUGGGAACUGUACGGCUGGAGUGCAGGAGAGGUAAGUGGAAUUCCUAGUGUAGCGGUGAAAUGCGUAGAUAUUAGGAGGAACACCAGUGGCGAAGGCGGCUUACUGGACUGUAACUGACGUUGAGGCUCGAAAGCGUGGGGAGCAAACAGGAUUAGAUACCCUGGUAGUCCACGCCGUANACGAUGAUUACUAGGUGUCGGGGGGCNGAGGCCCUUCGGUGCCGCAGCAAACGCAAUAAGUAAUCCACCUGGGGAGUACGUCCGCAAGGAUGAAACUC